Molecule: non-coding RNA, 26 nt
Filed under: Mus musculus (house mouse)
Lineage: Eukaryota; Metazoa; Chordata; Mammalia; Rodentia; Muridae
Source: RNAcentral
UAGUGCUGCUGAUGACGUCUGUCCCU